AAGAAGUGCAGAGAGAAAAGGAAACAGAAAAGAGAGAAAAGUGAUUAGUGAUUCUUCAGAGAAAAAUGAUUUAGCCUCAGAUAUUUUACAAGUUCUGCAGCAAUGUGUUUGUUGGAGCUGUUGAUUUGGAUUCAUUCUGUGAUUCUGAGUUUGGAUCUGAAUUUGUGGAAGUUGAGGCUGGAGAUGGGUUUCGUGAAUAUGUCUGCUAUUUGGUCUUGAGAGGGAAUAUGCAAGACACUAACUUUCUUUUGAGUAACAUAAUCUCUUACAAAGUAGAGGUCAAGCUCAAAGUGUUUGCUUUUGUUAUGAAGAAUUGGGUUUACAGCCAUUAAAACUGCACUUUGGCUGUCACAGUAGAGGUUGGGUGUGAUGGAGCAUGGGAUUCUCAUUUCACUCAUUAAAUUUUGGAUCCAGAGAAUUUCAGUUAAGCAAGCAGCUAGCCCUCGAUAUUCUGCCUCUGUGGAGCUCCUAGAGACUGCAUUUUGUUUUCUGCUUGACCAUGAGACUAGGUUUGGUCCGAGAAAUACGUAGAACCCACUGGUUGAUUUCCUGUCAUCAAUAUCACUGCCCCAAUCGGAGUCACUGAAGCCAUAGAUUCUGCAUUCACUCAUUCUUUGGAAUCUCAGCCCCCAAUUUGAUGUCCCAGCAAGGUAUCGUAGGAUCCGUUUGACUGCUUUCCAGUGGCUUUCCAGAGGAGUUUGCAUGAAUUGAGAGACUUUGUUCACAGCAUAGGUAAUUUCAGGUCUGGUUAUUGUAGCGUAUUGAAGUCCCCCAACUAUAGACCUGUAAAGCGUUGGGUUGUGGUAAACGUCCUUGCCAUGUGCUGACAGCCUGACACUUGAUAUCAUAGGCGUUGUUGCUGCUUUGGCACCGCGCAUUCCCGCCCUGGUUAAUAGGUCUUGAAUGUACUUUGUUUGGCACAGGAGUAUGUCAGUGUCAUUGAGUUUCACAGUUUCAAUGCCCAAGAAAUAGUUCAUAUGUCCCAAAUCUUUGAGGGUAAACACAGCAUUCAACUCAUAGAUUAGGGUGGAAAUUUCAGCUUGGGAGCCCCCGGUGACCAAGAUAUCAUCCACAUAAAUGAGAAUGUAGAUGACUGAGGAAGGGAAAAACUUGGUGAAUAGUGAUGUAUCAGAUUUGGUGUUCAUGAAGCCAAAUCGGUUGAGGGUGUCCUUGAGCUUUAUGAACCAGGCUCGAGGGGCUCGUUUGAGGCCAUAGAGGGACCUUUGGAGUUUGCAGACAUGGUGAGGGUGAGUGGGAGAGGUGAACCCUUCUGGUUGAGACAUGACAAGGGUCUCAUGUAGAUCCCCAUUGAGGAAGGCAUUAUUGAAGUCAAAUUGCCGGAUGGGCCAUCCCUUGGAGAGUGCGAGGCUGAGCAUGAUGCGAACUGUGGGUGGGCGGACGACAGGGCUGAAGACUUGGUCAUAGUUGACCCCUUCUCGUUGGUGAAAUCCUUUCGCGACAAGGCGAGCUUUAUACUUCUGAAUGGUGCCGUCUGGGUGCCUUUUGACACGAAACACCCAUUUGGAGCCAAUGACGGGGUCUGUGUGGUGGGGGUUUGGGUACCAGCUGCCAGGUUUGGUUGCGCAUUAGAGCAUCAAAUUCCUCCUGCAUGGCUUGUUUCCAGUGGUGGCUGGCCAGCGCUUGUUGAACAGAGGAAGGGAGAGAUUCAGUGAGAUCGGAGGCAGGGGUGGCGAGGACUGCAGCAUAGGUUUUGGGCUUGAGGUUUCCUGUCUUGCUCCGAGUUAGCAUAGGAUGACGAUUGAUGGGCGCUGGUUGAGGAAGUGGCAGGACAACUUCAGGGCGGCCUGGCUGCAGGGUACCUGUGGUGAACGAAGGAACACUGACAGGGUCGUUAACAAAAGCAGAAACACAAUCAUGAGUUACAAAGCCAGAUAGAUGCUGGAGUAUCUUGUACUGGCGUCAAUGAAGCAUAUGUAAUACCUGCAACCAUUUCUACUAUACACAAGAGCAGGUCCCCAGAGGUCAGAGAAAAUCAUAUCUAAAGGUGCAUAGGUAGUGUGUGAGUCAGGGUGAGGUAAUUGAUGUAUUUUGCUGAUACAACAAGCAUGACACAAUAAUGGUUCAAGACUCAUUUUAUUUAUUGAAUCAUUGUCAAUUACAUUGCAUUGCUUCAUUACAAUAGAGGCAAUUUUUUCAAAUGGGUGACCCAAUUUUCUAUGCCAUAGUUGAGCAGUGGGACUUAUCUUUUUACAGGUUAGCAGUGCAUUUGCACUAGACAGGUUCAUAUCUCUAUUUGGUAUAUUUGUUAUUACAUUGGUAGAAAGUAGAACAUUAGCAGACUUCACUUGCUCUUUUGGUUGGCUGAGUAUGUUGUGAGGACUUGAUUGCUUGUCGUGUGAGUGUGGUUGUUGUGAUAUUGGUUAGGAUAGUGCAUAGGUUGUAAAGGAUGCGGUUUGGGUUUCUGCUAAGGUCUUUGAGGGCUGCUGUGAGAUUGAGUUAAGGUUUGCUAUUUGUGCUGCGUCAAGCUUGCUUGUUCUUAUUACUAACACAGGGUGUGUGGCUUUACUGGUGAUGGUGGUAGAGGCUUUAUGUGGUUUGCUAUUUGCUGUCAGAACUAGGCUUUGAUUUUCUGAAGUAUUAGGAGAUAGUGUGAUUUUUGAAGUUAGCUGUGAGGGUGAGUAAGGGAUGGGAGUAGGGGGCUGUGCUGUGGAAGAGUAGGUGGCAGGGAGGUGUGUGGUUUCAUUUGGUUUGGUGUGUGGGGUGUGAUAUAAGGGUGGAUGAAGGUUAGUAAUUGUGUGGUAGCAGGUUGAGUUGGUUAUACUAUUAUUAUUGGGGCUGGGAGUUUUUGGGAUGAUUUGAACUCCCUCAAACCUGUACAGUCCAUCCUUAAGCAGUCCUUGGAGGAGGACUUUCUUGGAUAUCUGGCAUUUUACAUAGCACAAGUAAGGCCAGAAUUCAAAGUAGACAUAGUUGCCUAAUGUAAAUUUGGCUACACUUAUUAGGUUUUUAGAUAUGGCAGGGACAUGGAGUAAAUUUUGUAAUUGGAGUAAAUUUUGUAAUUGGAAGGGUUUGUUUGAUAGUGAUGCAUGCAUAAAUGUACUUCCAAUAUGCUUAAUUUUCAUACCUUGACCAUUACCUCCAAAGACCUGUUCUGUGCCAUCAUAACUGGUUCCUGUGGCUAGGUUCCGUGCAUCAUAGGUGCAGUGGUGAGAGGCUCCUGAGUCAGGGUACCAUGUUGUGUCUGGCAUUGCUGAGGGGACAGUGAGGAGAGCCUGCGGAUUUUGGGAAGCCGGUUGUGCUGCAUUUUGAGUUUGUUGUUGCUUCUGAGUGGUUCUUGAGUUGGAAUUGUUGUUGUGGAAGGCAAAGGAUGGGGGCUGAGUUGUGUUUAGAGGUUGAAGAUGAGGGUUCAUAAAAUCUUGAUCGAAGCGGUGAUAGCACUGGAUGACUGUGUGUCCAAUCUUGCCACAGAGUUGGCACUGCGGUCUGCUUCCUUGCCACCAGGAGGAAUGACUGCCUCCUCCUCUGUACUGUCCUCUGCCUCUGGACCCUCGAAAGUCGCCUCUGUUGUUGUAGUUGCUAUAGUUUCUUCUUUGAGAGUUUUCUUGAAUUUCUUCAUUGCUUUGAGCUACAUUUACUUGCAUUGCUCCUAGUUUUGUCUUUCUGAAUCUUUCAAUUAACUCUUCUUGAGUUAAGAGUUGUGUUUCAAGUUCACUUUCAGUGGUGUGAUCUAUUCUUGCUGUUGCAACUGUGAUAAAUGUAUUGUAUUCUUCACCAAGUCCUGCCAAGGCUACUUCAAUGUAAUUUUCCCUUGAGAGUGGAGCUCCCAGUGCUUUCAGUGAAUCUGCCACCUGGUUGUUCUGUUACCGAGUGAUCUCAGCUGCGUUUUCAGUUGCUUGAUUCUUGUCUUCACUCUUGCAGCAAAGUACUCCUCUAAUGUGAACCAGAUCUGGUAAGCAUACUCACAUUCGAUCACUCGGUUUACAAAGCUUGGUUCCAUGGAUGCAAUUAGCCAGAAUCUUCGAAGGAUUGAGGUGACUCUGCAAUUUGUUGACCUUGAUGCAUGCAAGGGCUUGCUUUUUCCAUGCGUUGUGGUUGUUUUCGUUGAGCUUGAUUGCAGCGAAGGCAGCGAA
Molecule: long non-coding RNA, 4091 nt
Organism: Arachis duranensis
Lineage: Eukaryota; Viridiplantae; Streptophyta; Magnoliopsida; Fabales; Fabaceae
Exons: 4
Source: RefSeq, a predicted model, not a curated record